RNAcentral lists this ribosomal RNA (708 nucleotides) under uncultured bacterium. RNAcentral's name for it is "bacterial SSU rRNA". It matches the Rfam family "Bacterial small subunit ribosomal RNA", at positions 39 to 791 of the family's 1533-position model. The record is from RNAcentral.
GCGGUAUGCUUAAGACAUGCAAGUCGAACGGAAUCUUCGGAUUCAGUGGCGGACGGGUGAGUAACACGUGGGAAUCUACUGAGUAGUGGGGGACAGCCCGGCGAAAGCCGGAUUAAUACCGCAUACGCCCUACGGGGGAAAGGCGCAAGCCGCUAUUUAAUGAGCCCGCGUAAGAUUAGCUAGUUGGUAGGGUAAAGGCUUACCAAGGCAACGAUCUUUAGCUGGUCUGAGAGGAUGGCCAGCCACAUCGGGACUGAGACACGGCCCGGACUCCUACGGGAGGCAGCAGUCGGGAAUAUUGGACAAUGGGCGCAAGCCUGAUCCAGCAAUACCGCGUGUGUGAAGAAGGCCUGCGGGUUGUAAAGCACUUUCAGUUGGGAAGAUAAUGACGUUACCAACAGAAGAAGCACCGGCUAACUCCGUGCCAGCAGCCGCGGUAAUACGGAGGGUGCAAGCGUUAAUCGGAAUUACUGGGCGUAAAGCGUGCGUAGGCGGUUUUUUAAGUCAGAUGUGAAAUCCCCGGGCUCAACCUGGGAACUGCAUCUGAUACUGGGAGACUAGAGUGUGGGAGAGGAGAGUGGAAUUUCCGGUGUAGCGGUGAAAUGCAUAGAGAUCGGAAGGAACAUCAGUGGCGAAGGCGACUCUCUGGACCAACACUGACGCUGAGGCACGAAAGCGUGGGUAGCAAACAGGAUUAGAUACCCUGGU